This 239-nucleotide long non-coding RNA is filed under the name Elaeis guineensis (African oil palm). RNAcentral describes it as "long non-coding RNA (EGUI_LNC014668)". The record is from RNAcentral. Lineage: Eukaryota; Viridiplantae; Streptophyta; Magnoliopsida; Arecales; Arecaceae.
UGGUCAUCGAAAUUAAAUUUUAUUAAUCGACAUAGCUAGGACUAUCAGAUCAAGGUGAUCUUUUGUAACCAUACUCUAAUGAUAAUUAUUUAGAUAAUGAAUGAUGAAGAUAAAUUUUAAAUUUUAAAAUUAUAUCAUAUUCAAAAAAAAUAUGAAAUUUAUAUUCUAUCCAUGGCAGCGGUUAUUCAUAAUCGCUACCAUAUCACCUAUUGCAGCGGUUAUGCAUAAUCGCUGCCAUA